UCUACCAGAGAGGGCACAUGUGCCUCAAUUGGCCUAUAGCAUAGCGACUCAUUAUCCUUCCACCGCUGGUGGCGGGCGGUACUCGCUGCUCUGUGAAGCCAGCCUCACACAAUGUCCGCCACUUUAGGUGUUGGGAUGCAAAGGCUUUCGCCAAGGCAUCCGAAACCCACUACACAACUUGGAAUGGGUGGUCCACUGUUUGUAGCACUAGACCCAGGCACAUGCACCACAAUUGACAUCCACACUACCUUAUUGCCCCGCUCGGGUUACAAGCAAUCGCUACUUGCUCAGCGAGUGAGGGGGUUCAAGACUACCUAUUUAAGGUGGUGUUGUACUCUAUGAGCCGGCGGUGUGGUAUUUACCAACUACAAAUAGUGUCAUGCAUGUGACUUGCUAGUUGACAAUGUCUGUUGUCAAGCUAGGUGUGGGCUAUGGAUGAAGCACAUUAGGAUAUAGUAGGCCUAUUUUGUUUUUUGUUGUUUUUGGGCCACUAUGGACUUUAUGUUGAUGUUGUGAAAUUUUUUUCUUGUGUUUCCUCUUCCUACGAUGUGGAAAGUGGGUGCGUCAGAGAAGAAAGAAAGAGUGGCUAGCAUUGAUUUUACGUCAUACCAUUGAGAACACUAAUCAGAAGCAGAAGCAACAAUAUUUCAUACAUAUACAACACUUGUAAUCCAUAUAAACAACAUUCCUUUAAAAUAUAAUAUAAACCACAUGAUUUAUAUCCUGGGUCGGCUAUCUCCACAAAGGGCAAGAAAACGCUCCAAGUUUGUAGUAUAGCACUAAAAGUGUCGAUUCUCACGAUUUCUUCCCGACAUAUACAAACUAGACAGUAAUCACAUAAAAUAAAGAAAUAUGUGUUAACACAAACUUAUAGCAUGUAUUUCAACAUAUAGAUUGUUGAUUAUUAUGGUAGAUUAUAUAAAAUAGGGGUUCCCGAAGAAAUACAUAAAAACAAGAGCAUUAAAAUUUCCUUUUCAGAUCUGGCUAUCUGGUAAAAGGAGUUGGAGUAACUGAGUUUCCAAAUUUGUGACGUAGCUCUAUAGAAGGAAUAUAAAUACGUUGGAAAAAUUCUAUAAGGAAAGGUUUAAUACAAGUAGGGCUAAGAAAAACUCAAUGAGGCUUUGGUCGCAUGGUCACAAAACUUGAGACAAGAAACACGAAGACACCAAGGUAAUUAGUAUGAGAGUUUUCCAAAUUUGGUGUCUUGAUGUAGAAAAAAUAAAUAUAUGACAAAUUUGUUUUUUCGCAAGGCAUGGAUAAAUAGGUGGGGGUGAGCAAUAAAUUUCAUCCUAGAUUUAGAAGGAAUAAAUAUAUCACUAAAUAUGUUUUUUCACAAUGCCAAGUUAAUCAGGUGGGAGCGAGAAACAAUUCUAGCGAGGCUAGGUUGUACUAGCCCAAAACUACAUACAACAGAGGAAAAAUGAAGAAAAUGAUGGUCUACCAAAUAUGGCGCAUGAGCCUUAAGGUGCACCUAGAGGGAAGUAGAAGAAAUAAAUAUAUAAUAGCAUAUAUUUUUCGCAAUGCAUGGUAAAGUGUAGAUGUGCUCUAACUGGGCUUAGAUUGCAGCGACACAUUAUGCAUCUACAAGGCUUGGUUGCACAUGGAAAAAGAUACAGAAAGAAAUGUAGACGCAGGACCGGGAGAAAAACAUUCAAUGAGACGUGAUUGCACAGACAUAGAACUAGAUAUAAGACAAGAGUUAAAGAAAAAUAAAGGAACUAAAUUUUCUUCUGCACACUAAGCAUGAAUGGAGUUGUAGUAUCUGAGAUCAAAAUUUAAUUUAUUCCAAGAUGCAGAACAAAAAUGUGAUACUCGUAAUGGUUACAUAGGAACAAAAGUAGUUAAGAAAAAUAGCAAAAAGAUAGUGGUCUACCAGAGAGGGCACAUGUGCCUCAAUUGGCCUAUAGCAUAGCGACUCAUUAUCCUUCCACCGCUGGUGGCGGGCGGUACUCGCUGCUCUGUGAAGCCAGCCUCACGCAAUGUCCGCCACUUUAGGUGUUGGGAUGCAAAGGCUUUCGCCAAGGCAUCCGAAACCCACUACACAACUUGGAAUGGGUGGUCCACAGUUUGUAGCACUAGACCCAGGCACAUGCACCACAAUUGACAUCCACACUACCUUAUUGCCCCCGCUCGGGUUACAAGCAAUCGCUACUUGCUCAGCGAGUGAGGGGGGGUCAAGACUACCUAUUUAAGGUGGUGUUGUACUCUAUGAGCAGGCGGUCUGGUAUUUACCAACUACAAAUAGUGUCAUGCAUGUGACUUGCUAGUUGACAAUGUCUGUUGUCGAGUUAGAUGUGGGCUAUGGAUGAAGCACAUUAGGAUAUAGUAGGCCUAUUUUGUUUUUUGUUGUUUUUGGGCCACUAUGGACUUUCUGUUGAUGUUGUGAAAUUUUUUCUUGUGUUUCCUCUUCCUACGAUGUGGAAAGUGGGUGCGUCAGAGAAGAAAGAAAGAGUGGCUAGCAUUGAUUUUACGUCAUACCAUUGAGAACACUAAUUAGAAGCAGAAGCAACAAUAUUUCAUACAUAUACAACACUUGUAAUCCAUAUAAACAACUUUCCUUUAAAAUAUAAUAUAAACCACAUGAUUUAUAUCCUGGGUCGGCUAUCUCUACAAAGGGCGAGAAAACGCUCCAAGUUUGUAGUAUAGAACUAAAAGUGUCGAUUCUCAUGAUUUUUCCGACAUAUACAAACUAGACAGUAAUCACAUAAAAUAAAGAAAUAUGUGUUAACACGAACUUAUAGCAUGUAUUUCAACAUACAUAUUGUUGAUUAUUAUGGUAGAUUAUAUAAAAUAGGGGUUCCCGAAGAAAUACAUAAAAACAAGAGCAUUAAAAUUUCCUUUUUAGAUCUGGCUAUCUGGUAAAAGGAGUUGGAGUAACUGAGUUUCCAAAUUUGUGACGUAGCUCUAUAGAAGGAAUAUAAAUACGUUGCAAAAAUUCUACAAGGAAAGGUUAAUACAAGUAGGGCUAAGAAAAACUCAAUUAGGCUUUGGUCGCAUGGUCACAAAACUUGAGACAAGAAACACGAAGACACCAAGGUAAUUAGUAUGAGAGUUUUCGAAAUUUGGUGUCUUGAUGUAGAAAAAAUAAAUAUAUGACAAACUUGUUUUUUCUCAAGGCAUGGAUUGAGAGCACCUAGAGGGGGGGGUGAAUAGGUGAUCCUGUGAAACUUGAAAACUUAAGCCACAAAACUUGGUUAAUCGUUAGCACAAUAAUUGCCAAGUGGCUAAAUAGGAAUCCUCAACAAAAUACAAUAACCAACAAAGAUCAAUCACAGAGAUGACACGGUGGUUAUCCCAUGGUUCGGCCAAGACCAACGCUUGCCUACUCCAUGUUGUGGCGUCCCAACGGACGAGGGUUGCAAUCAACCCCUCUCAAGCGGUCCAAAGACCCACUUGAAUACCACGGUGUUUUGCUUUGCUUAUCUUUAUCCCACUUGCGAGGAAUCUCCACAAAUUGGAGUCUCUCGCCCUUACACUUAAAGUUCACAAAGAAGCACGGAGUAAGGGAGGGAAGCAACACACACAAAUCCACAGCAAAAUGCGCACACACACGGCCAAGAAUCGAGCUCAAAAGACUAUCUCAAAGUUCUCACUAGAACGGAGCUCGAAUCACUGAGAAUGACAAACGAAUGCGCAAAGACUGAGUGUGGAUGAUCAAGAAUGCUCUAAGGUUGCUUGGUUUUUCUCCUCCAUGCGCCUAGGGGUCCCUUUUAUAGCCCCAAGGCGGCUAGGAGCCGUUGAGAACAAAUCUGGAAGGCCAUCCUUGCCUUCUGUCGUCGGGCGCACCGGACAGUCCGGUGCACACCGGACACUGUCCGGUGCCCGAUUUCCUUCCUUAAAUGGCGAAGCCGACCGUUGCAGAUGUGGGAGCCGUUGGCGCACCGGACAUGUCCGGUGCACACCGGACAGUCCGGUGCCCCCUUCCGACCGUUGGCUCGGCCACGUGUCGCGCGCGGAUUCCGUGGCCGACCGUUGGCCCGGCCGACCGUUGGCUCACCGGACAGUCCGGUGCACACCGGACAGUCCGGUGAAUUUUAGGCGUACGUCGCCGGUGAAUUCCCGAGAGCGGCCAGUUCGCUCGAGCCAGCCUGGCGCACCGGACACAGUCCGGUGCACCACCGGACAGUCCGGUGCCCCAGACCGAAACAGCCUCUUGGCUGUACACAGCCAACUCUUCUCUUUCCUUCUUCUUUUUGUUUCUGAUACUUAGACAAGUAUAUUAGUACACAAAACCAAUGUACUAAGACUUAGAAACAUACCUUUGCUCUUGAUUUGCACUUUGUCCAUUCAUGGGCAUAGAUUUACAUUUAAUUACUUGUGUUGGCACUCAAUCACCAAAAUACUUAGAAAUGGCCCAAGGGCACAUUUCCCUUUCAAUCUCCCCCUUUUUGGUGAUUUAUGCCAACACAACAUAAAGCAACUAGAACAAGUGCAAUAUUACUUCAAAUAAAAACUCAAAUUCAUUUUGAUUCAAUUUGGCAUAUAUGGAUCAUCCUUUGCCACCACUUGGUUUGUUUUUGCAAAUCAAACUCAAAAUCCUAUCUCUAAGUCAAAUCCACUUGUAGAGACAUAAAGAGAGGUUUUCCAUAGAAGAUUGAUUCAAGAUUCCAAAAACUCCCCCUUUUUCCCAUAAUCAACACUUCACCCCACAAGAGGCCAACUUUUGAUAAAAGAGACAAUGCAAGAGUAUUGACAAACCAAAAGCUCUAUCCUACUGUUUUCAAAGUUUCUCAAGUGGUAGCUGAUCCAUUUAUUGCUUUGGCCUUUAUUUUCUCCCCCUUUGGCGUCAAGCACCAAAACGGGAUCAAUCUUGGCCCUUUAACCCCAUUGCCUCACCAAAAUCUUCAAUUAAGAGCAAAUAGGCAAUAAGAGUUAAAAGAUGAACUUGGAAAAGUUACUCUUUUCAUCGGAGUGCAGUGGAAGUCUUGCAUGGUCCAAGUCCACCUUUUCCCUUUUAAUUCUCCUUCGAGACUAAAACAAGCAAACUCAAGCAUAUGGUUAGUCUCAAAGGGUCAAGUUGUAACACAUCUCCCCCUAAAACUGUGCAUCACUUUGCAACGGACUUGUGAGGUCCAGGGAGUGUUUGUACAACUUGAGCACCAUACUAAACAACAAAAUGCAAAAAGGAUCAUGAUCAAAAGCAUAAAUACAUGUAUGCUACAAUUCAAUCCAAGUUCCGCGAAUCUACGACAUUUAGCUCACUACGCAGCCUGCAAAAGGUCUUCUCAUCUAGAGGCUUGGUAAAGAUAUCGGCUAGCUGGUUCUCGGUGCUAACAUGAAACACUUCGAUAUCUCCCUUUUGCUGGUGAUCUCUCAAAAAGUGAUGCCGGAUGUCAAUGUGCUUUGUGCGGCUGUGUUCAACAGGAUUUUCCGCCAUGCGGAUAGCACUCUCAUUGUCACAUAGGAGUGGGACUUUGCUCAGAUUGUAGCCAAAGUCCCUGAGGGUUUGCCUCAUCCAAAGUAGUUGCGCGCAACACUGUCCUGCGGCAACAUACUCGGCCUCAGCGGUGGAUAGGGCAACGGAGGUUUGUUUCUUAGAGUUCCACGACACCAGGGACCUUCCUAAGAAUUGGCACGUCCCUGAUGUACUCUUCCUAUCGACCUUACAUCCAGCAUAGUCGGAAUCUGAGUUUCCAACCAAGUCAAAGGUAGACCCCUUUGGAUACCAGAGCCCGAAGCAAGGCGUAGCAACCAAAUAUCUAAGAAUUCGCUUCACCGCCACUAAGUGACACUCCUUAGGAUUGGAUUGAAAUCUAGCACACAUGCAUACGCUAAGCAUAAUAUCCGGUCUACUAGCACAUAAAUAAAGUAAAGACCCUAUCAUUGACCGGUAUGCUUUUUGAUCAACGGACUUACCUCCUUUGUUGAGGUCGGUGUGUCCGUCGGUCCCCAUCGGAGUCUUUGCGGGCUUGGCGUCCUUCAUCCCAAACCGCUUCAGCAGGUCUUGCGUGUACUUUGUUUGGGAGAUGAAGGUGCCGUCCUUGAGUUGCUUCACUUGAAACCCAAGGAAGUAGUUCAACUCGCCCAUCAUCGACAUCUCGAAUUUCUGCAUCAUAACCCUGCUAAACUCUUCACAAGACUUUUGGUUAGUAGAACCAAAUAUUAUGUCAUCGACAUAAAUUUGGCACACAAACAAAUCACCAUCACAUGUCUUAGUAAAAAGAGUUGGAUCGGCUUUCCCAACCUUGAAGGCAUUUGCAAUUAAAAAGUCUUUAAGGCAUUCAUACCAUGCUCUUGGGGCUUGCUUAAGUCCAUAGAGCGCCUUAGAGAGCUUACACACGUGGUCGGGGUACCGUUCAUCCUCGAAGCCAGGGGGUUGCUCUACGUACACCUCCUCCUUGAUUGGCCCGUUGAGGAAAGCGCUCUUCACAUCCAUUUGGAACAACCUGAAAGAAUGGUGAGCGACAUAUGCUAGCAAGAUACGAAUUGAUUCUAGCCUAGCCACAGGAGCAAACGUCUCCUCAAAGUCCAAACCUGCGACUUGGGCAUAACCUUUUGCCACAAGUCGAGCCUUGUUCCUCGUCACCACCCCGUGCUCGUCCUGUUUGUUGCGGAAUACCCACUUGGUUCCCACAACGUUUUGCUUGGGACGAGGCACCAGUGUCCAAACUUCAUUUCGCUUGAAGUUGUUGAGUUCCUCCUGCAUGGCUAACACCCAGUCCGGAUCUAGCAAGGCCUCUUCUACCCUGAAAGGCUCAAUAGAAGAGACAAAGGAGUAAUGCUCACAAAAAUUAACUAAUCGAGAUCGAGUAGUUACUCCCUUGCUAAUAUCACCCAGAAUUUGGUCGACGGGAUGAUCCCUUUGAAUCAUCGCUCGAACUUGGGUUGGAGGUGCCGGUUGUGCUUCUUCCUCCAUCACAUGAUCAUCUUGUGCUCCCCAUUGAUCACACUCCUCUUGAUGAACCUGUUCAUCGUUUUGAGUUGGGGGAUGCAUCAUUGUUGAGGAAGAAGGUUGAUCUUGCUCCAAUUGUUCCUGUGGUCGCACAUCACCAAUCGCCAUGGUGCGCAUAGCGGCCGUUGGAACGUCUUCUUCAUCUAAAUCAUCAAGAUCAACAACUUGCUCUCUUGGAGAGCCAUUAGUCUCAUCAAAUACAACGUCGCUAGAGACUUCAACCAAACCCGAUGAUUUGUUGAAGACUCUAUACGCCUUUGUAUUUGACUCAUAACCUAACAAAAACCCUUCUACAGCUUUGGGAGCAAACUUAGAAUUUCUACCCUUCUUUACUAGAAUGUAGCACUUGCUCCCAAAUACACGAAAGUAAGAUACAUUGGGUUUGUUACCGGUUAGUAGCUCAUACGAAGUCUUCUUGAGGAGGCGAUGAAGGUAGACCCUGUUGAUGGCGUGGCAAGCCAUGUUCACGGCUUCCGACUAGAAACACUCGGGGGUCUUGAAUUCUCCAAGCAUCGUCCUCGCCAUAUCGAUUAGUGUCCUGUUCUUCCUCUCUACCACACCAUUUUGCUGUGGUGUGUAGGGAGCGGAGAACUCGUGCUUGAUCCCUUCCUCCUCAAGGAACUCCUCCACUUGAAGAUUCUUGAAAUCGGACCCGUUGUCGCUCCUUAUCUUCUUCACCUUGAGCUCAAACUCAUUUUGAGCUCUCCUAAGGAAGCGCUUGAGGGUCCCUUGGGUUUCAGACUUAUCCUGCAAAAAGAACACCCAAGUGAAGCGGGAAAAGUCAUCGACAAUAACUAGACCAUACUUACUUCCCCCUAUGCUCAGAUAGGCGACGGGUCCGAAGAGGUCCAUAUGCAGCAGCUCCAGGGGUCUUGAAGUGGUCAUCACAUUCUUGCUGUGAUGCGCUCCUCCCACUUGUUUACCUGCUUGACAAGCUGCACAAGGUCUAUCUUUUUCGAAUUGUACGUUAGUCAAACCUAUCACGUGUUCUCCCUUUAGAAGCUUGUGAAGGUUCUUCAUCCCCACAUGUGCUAAGCGGCGAUGCCACAGCCAGCCCAUGCUAGUCUUAGCAAUUAAGCAUGCAUCUAGACCGGCCUCUUCUUUUGCAAAAUCAACUAAGUAAAGCUUGCCGUCUAAUACACCCUUAAAAGCUAGUGAACCAUCACUUCUUCUAAAGACAGACACAUCUACAUUUGUAAAUAGACAGUUAUAUCCCAUAUUGCAUAAUUGACUAACAGAUAACAAAUUAUAUCCAAGAGACUCUACUAAAAACACAUUAGAGAUAGAGUGCUCAUUAGAAAUUGCAAUUUUACCUAACCCUUUUACCUUGCCUUGAUUCCCAUCACCGAAUAUAAUUGAAUCUUGGGAAUCCUUAUUCUUGACGUAGGAGGUGAACAUCUUCUUCUCCCCCGUCAUAUGGUUUGUGCAUCCGCUGUCGAUAAUCCAGCUUGAACCCCCGGAUGCAUAAACCUGCAAGGCAAAUUUAGGCUUGGGACUUAGGUACCCAACUCUUGUUGGGUCCUACAAGGUUAGUCACAAUUUCCUUAGGGAUCCAAAUGCAAGUUUUAUCACCCUUGCAUUUUGCCCCUAACUUCCUAGCAAUCACCUUUCUAUCCUUUCUACAAAUUGCAAAGGAAGCAUUCAAAGCAUGAUAUAUUGUAGAAGGCUCAUUAACUUUCCUAGGCACAUUAACAACAUUUCUCCUAGGCAUAUUAUGAACAACAUUUCUCCUACCAACGUUCCUAUCAUGCUCAUAGAAAGAACUAGAAGCAACCAUGUCAUGAUAAACAUAUGAAUCAAAAACAUUAUAACUUCUAUUUGCAUUUCUAGUAUGUCUCCUAUCAUGAUACAUAAAAGCAUGGUUCUUUUUAGCACUACCAGCCAUAGGGGCCUUCCCUUUCUCCUUGGCGGAAAUGGGAGCCUUAUGGCUUGUUAAGUUCUUGGCUUCCCUCUUGAAGCCAAGUCCAUCCUUAAUUGAGGGAUGUCUACCAAUCGUAUAGGCAUCCCUUGCAAAUUUUAAUUUAUCAAAUUCGCUUUUGCUAGUCUUAAGUUGGGCAUUAAGACUAGCCACUUCAUCAUUCAAUUUAGAAAUUGAAACUAGGUGUUCACUACAAGCAUCAACAUUAAAAUCUUUACACCUAGUGCAAACCAUAACAUGUUCUACACAAGAGUUAGAUUUACUAGCCACUUCUAGUUUAGCAUUUAAAUCAUUAUUAACACCUUUUAAAGUAGCAAUGGUUUCAUGACAAGAAGAUAAUUCACUAGAAAGCACUUCAUUUCUUUUAACUUCUAAAGCAUAAGAUUUUUGUGCCUCUACAAAUUUGUCAUGCUCUUCAUAUAAAAGAUCCUCUUGUUUUUCUAAGAGUCUAUCCUUUUCAUUCAAGGCAUCAAUCAAUUCAUUAAUCUUUUCUACUUUAGUUCUAUCCAAUCCCUUGAACAAACUAGAGUAAUCUAUUUCUUCAUCACUGGACUCAUCAUCACUAGAAGAAUCAUAAGUGACAUUGUUUUGAUUGCAUACCUUCUUCUCCCUUGCCAUAAGGCAUGUGUGACGCUCGUUGGGGAAGAGGGAUGACUUGUUGAAGGCGGUGGCGGCGAGUCCUUCAUUGUCGGAGUCGGAGGAGAAGCAAUCUGAAUCCCACUCCUUUCCGAUAUGUGCCUCGCCCUUGGCCUUCUUGUAAUGCUUCUUCUUCUCCCUUUUGUUCCCCUUUUCCUGGUCACUUUCAUUAUCGGGACAGUUAGCAAUGAAAUGACCAAUCUUACCGCAUUUGAAGCACGAGCGCUUCUCCUUUGUCUUGGUCUUGCUUGGCUGUCCCUUGCGACCUUUAAGCGCCGUCUUGAAGCGCUUAAUGAUGAGGGCCAUCUCCUCAUUAUUUAGCCCGGCCGCCUCAACUUGCGCCACCUUGCUCGGUAGCGCCUCCUUGCUCCUCGUUGCCUUGAGAGCAAUGGGUUGAGGCUCAUGAAUAGGACCGUUCAACGCGUCGUCCACAUAUCUUGCCUCCUUGAUCAUCAUUCGCCCGCUUACGAACUUCCCCAGAACUUCUUCGGGCGACAUCUUGGUGUACCUAGGAUUUUCACGAAUAUUGUUCACCAAAUGAGGAUCAAGAACGGUAAAGGACCUUAGCAUUAGGCGGACGACGUCGUGAUCCGUCCAUCGCGUGCUUCCGUAGCUCCUUAUUUUGUUGAUAAGGGUCUUGAGCCGGUUGUAUGUUUGAGUUGGCUCCUCGCCCCUUAUCAUUGCGAACCGUCCAAGCUCGCCCUCCACCAACUCCAUCUUGGUGAGUAAGGUGACAUCGUUCCCCUCAUGAGAGAUCUUGAGGGUGUCCCAGAUCUGCUUGGCAUUGUCCAAGCCGCUCACCUUAUGGUACUCGUCCCUGCACAAAGAGGCUAGCAACACAGUAGUAGCUUGUGCAUUUUUAUGAAUCUGUUCAUUAAUAAACAUGGGACUAUCCGUACUAUCAAAGUGCAUUCCACUUUCUACAAUCUCCCAUAUGCUAGGAUGGAGAGAGAACAAGUGACUACGCAUUUUGUGACUCCAAAAUCCGUAGUCCUCUCCAUCAAAAUGAGGAGGUUUACUAAGUGGAAUAGAUAAUAACUGAGCAUUAGUACUUUGAGGAAUACGAGAGUAAUCAAAAGAAAAGUACGAAUUGACCGGUUUCUUUCUCUCGUAUUCGUUGUGGUCGUCGUCCUUUUGGGAGGAAGUAGACUCAUCGCUGUCGUAGUAGACGAUCUCCUUGAUGUGUCUUGUCUUCUUCUUCUUCCCAUCUUUGCGUCUGUGGCCCGAGCCCGAGUCGUUGGACUUGUCAUCCCUUGGCUCGUUGACGAAGGACUCCUUCUCCUUGUCGUUGAUCACGAUUCCCUUCCCUUUAGGAUCCAUCUCUUCGGGCGGUUAGUCCCUUUGUGAAGAGAACGGCUCUGAUACCAAUUGAGAGCACCUAGAGGGGGGGUGAAUAGGUGAUCCUGUGAAACUUGAAAACUUAAGCCACAAAACUUGGUUAAUCGUUAGCACAAUAAUUGCCAAGUGGCUAAAUAGGAAUCCUCAACAAAAUACAAUAACCAACAAAGAUCAAUCACAGAGAUGACACGGUGGUUAUCCCGUGGUUCGGCCAAGACCAACGCUUGCCUACUCCACGUUGUGGCGUCCCAACGGACGAGGGUUGCAAUCAACCCCUCUCAAGCGGUCCAAAGACCCACUUGAAUACCACGGUGUUUUGCUUUGCUUAUCUUUAUCCCACUUGCGAGGAAUCUCCACAAAUUGGAGUCUCUCGCCCUUACACUUAAAGUUCACAAAGAAGCACGGAGUAAGGGAGGGAAGCAACACACACAAAUCCACAGCAAAAUGCGCACACACACGGCCAAGAAUCGAGCUCAAAAGACUAUCUCAAAGUUCUCACUAGAACGGAGCUCGAAUCACUGAGAAUGACAAACGAAUGCGCAAAGACUGAGUGUGGAUGAUCAAGAAUGCUCUAAGGUUGCUUGGUUUUUCUCCUCCAUGCGCCUAGGGGUCCCUUUUAUAGCCCCAAGGCGGCUAGGAGCCGUUGAGAACAAAUCUGGAAGGCCAUCCUUGCCUUCUGUCGUCGGGCGCACCGGACAGUCCGGUGCACACCGGACACUGUCCGGUGCCCGAUUUCCUUCCUUAAAUGGCGAAGCCGACCGUUGCAGAUGUGGGAGCCGUUGGCGCACCGGACAUGUCCGGUGCACACCAGACAGUCCGGUGCCCCCUUCCGACCGUUGGCUCGGCCACGUGUCGCGCGCGGAUUCCGCGGCCGACCGUUGGCCCGGCCGACCGUUGGCUCACCGGACAGUCCGGUGCACACCGGACAGUCCGGUGAAUUUUAGGCGUACGUCGCCGGUGAAUUCCCGAGAGCGGCCAGUUCGCUCGAGCCAGCAUGGCGCACCGGACACUGUCCGAUGCACCACCGGACAGUCCGGUGCCCCAGACCGAAACAGCCUCUUGGCUGUACACAGCCAACUCUUCUCUUUCCUUCUUCUUUCUGUUUCUGAUACUUAGACAAGUAUAUUAGUACACAAAACCAAUGUACUAAGACUUAGAAACAUACCUUUGCUCUUGAUUUGCACUUUGUCCAUUCAUGGGCAUAGAUUUACAUUUAAGCACUUGUGUUGGCACUCAAUCACCAAAAUACUUAGAAAUGGCCCAAGGGCACAUUUCCCUUUCAUGGAUAAAUAAGUGGGGGUGAGCAAUAAAUUUCAUCCUAGAUUUAGAAGGAAUAAAUAUAUCACUAAAUACGUUUUUUUUUACAAUGGCAAGUUAAUCAGGUGGGAGCGAGAAACAAUUCUAGCGAGGCUAGGUUGUACUAGCCCAAAAUUACAUACAACAGAGGAAAAAUGAAGAAAAUGAUGGUCUACCAAAUAUGGCGCAUGAGCCUUAAGGUGCACCUAGAGGGAAGUAGAAGAAUAAAUAUAUAAUAGCAUAUGUUUUUCGCAAUGCAAGGUAAAGUGUAGAUGUGCUCUAACUGGGCUUAGAUUGCAGCGACACAUUAUGCAUCUACAAGGCUUGGUUGCACAUGGAAAAAGAUAGAGAGAGAAAUGUAGACGCAGGACCGGGAGAAAACAUUCAAUGAGACGUGAUUGCACGGACAUAGAACUAGAUAUAAGACAAGAGUUAAAGAAAAAAAGGAACUAAAUUUUCUUGUGCACACUAAGCAUGAAUGGAGUUGUAGUAUCUGAGAUCAAAAUUUAAUUUAUUCCAAGAUGCAGAACAAAAACGUGAUAUUCGUAAUGGUUACAUAGGAACAAAAGUAGAUAAGAAAAAUAGCAAAAAGAUAGUGGUCUACCAGAGAGGGCACAUGUGCCUCAAUUGGCCUAUAGCAUAGUGGCUCAUUAUCCUUCCACCGCUGGUGGCGGGCGGUACUCGCUGCUCUGUGAAGCCAGCCUCACGCAAUGUCCGCCACUUUAGGUGUUGGGAUGCAAAGGCUUUCGCCAAGGCAUCCGAAACCCACUACACAACUUGGAAUGGGUGGUCCACAAUUUGUAGCACUAGACCCAUACACAUGCACCACAAUUGAUAUCCACACUACCUUAUUGCCCCCGCUCGGGUUACAAGCAAUCGCUACU
Molecule: long non-coding RNA, 12964 nt
Filed under: Zea mays
Lineage: Eukaryota; Viridiplantae; Streptophyta; Magnoliopsida; Poales; Poaceae
Description: long non-coding RNA (ZMAY_LNC000227)
Source: RNAcentral